UACCACUCAAUUGAUCAGUAGUAGAUGCAACAGGAGAACCAAAUGAUCUCGUCAUCCUUGCUUCCUAAAACAUCAAAAGAACAUUUUCUUUGAUCAAUCUCUAAAUGAUAGUCAAUAAACCUAAAAAAACAUAAUAUUCUUAGUGAUUCUCAAAUCAUGCUCUGAUACCACCUCUGUCACGCCCCUCAAAAUAUCGAAAAUAUUAAAAAUUUUCAUCACAACUAAUCCAGGAUCCAAACACACAUUUGAGGUCACUAAGAAAACAUUCAGAUCAAAAUUUCACCUCUAUAGUCUACAAAUUUAUAACCCUGUGCAGUUCAUAAACAUACCACACAUCACUCGAUAAUUCAUACAAUUUGAACUCAACUCAUCAAAAUAAUAACCACAACAUAAAUUCACAAGUGGGGAAGUCUAUGCAGUCACCAAACCAA
This 431-nucleotide long non-coding RNA is filed under the name Musa acuminata (dwarf banana). RNAcentral's name for it is "long non-coding RNA (MACU_LNC007939)". Lineage: Eukaryota; Viridiplantae; Streptophyta; Magnoliopsida; Zingiberales; Musaceae. The record is from RNAcentral.